RNAcentral lists this long non-coding RNA (215 nucleotides) under Setaria viridis. RNAcentral's name for it is "long non-coding RNA (SVIR_LNC009413)". The record is from RNAcentral. Lineage: Eukaryota; Viridiplantae; Streptophyta; Magnoliopsida; Poales; Poaceae.
ACUCCACCUUCGAGUGAUAUUUAGAUUGCUCGCCUCUUUUUCUUGUUCGUUCUUCGAUUGCGGACAGGAAUCGAUCUUCAUGAUCAGGCUGAUCUUGCACCGGCGAGGUUGGUAACCAUCGGGAGUUGGUUCAACGAUUGCAUUGGCGCUUCGGGUUCGCUCGUCGUAGUCAGAUCGUGAGGGUCUACUUCCACCAAGUCGAAUUUAUCUCCACU